AAAAAGUCAAUACAAGAGAGCAGAAGCCACCUGCAGAACCCAGCUUCAAACACCUGUUAAGCUUAUUCGGCCAUCUUUGAUUGUGUUAAUAAAGGAAGGAGGCAAUGGGAUCAAUGUUCAGUUCACCUCAGUUUAGCAAAGAACAAAUGGAGGCCGCUCUUACCAAAGCCAAGCAGAUCGUUUCCUCUAAUCCUGUUGUCGUAUUCAGUAAAACAUACUGCGGAUAUUGCACAAGGGUGAAGAAACUUCUUUCCCAGCUUGGUGCUACUUUUAAAGUUAUUGAACUUGACCGGGAAAGUGAUGGAGAUGAGGUUCAAGCAGCAUUACUAGAAUGGACUAAGCAGAGGACUGUGCCUAACGUGUUUAUUGGGGGAGAACAUGUUGGUGGCUGCGACAGCGUAUUAGAGAAGCAUCAACAGGGAAAGCUACUUCCCAUGCUGAAGGACGCCGCUGCUAUUCCCAACAAUCCUGCCAAAGUCUAGAACUCAUCUAUGCACUCUAGUAGUCAAAUGAAGUUGAGAGUUCUGUAACUUAACUGCCUCCUCUCCUCUAGUUGGGGUUGUUUAAUAAGACGCUGGAUUUCAAGUUCCUUUUUCUGAACAUUUUCUUUUAGUACUAUUUUCUAUUUUUUACUUGCCAUCUGUUCCUUUGGGAAGUAUAUAUUGUAGAUUCGCGUU
RNAcentral lists this unclassified non-coding RNA (677 nucleotides) under Hevea brasiliensis (rubber tree). Lineage: Eukaryota; Viridiplantae; Streptophyta; Magnoliopsida; Malpighiales; Euphorbiaceae. The record is from RNAcentral.